RNAcentral lists this ribosomal RNA (472 nucleotides) under Actinomyces sp. oral taxon 169. Its description in RNAcentral is "bacterial SSU rRNA". It matches the Rfam family "Bacterial small subunit ribosomal RNA", at positions 28 to 491 of the family's 1533-position model. The record is from RNAcentral. Lineage: Bacteria; Bacillati; Actinomycetota; Actinomycetes; Actinomycetales; Actinomycetaceae.
GACGAACGCUGGCGGCGUGCUUAACACAUGCAAGUCGAACGGUGAAGGGACCAGCUUGCUGGUUCUGGAUGAGUGGCGAACGGGUGAGUAACACGUGAGUAACCUGCCCCCUUCUUCUGGAUAACCGCAUGAAAGUGUGGCUAAUACGGGAUAUUCUGGGUCUGUCGCAUGAUGGGCCCGGGAAAGAUAUUGUUUCGGUGGGGGAUGGGCUCGCGGCCUAUCAGCUUGUUGGUGGGGUGAUGGCCUACCAAGGCGGUGACGGGUAGCCGGCCUGAGAGGGUGGACGGUCACACUGGGACUGAGACACGGCCCAGACUCCUACGGGAGGCAGCAGUGGGGAAUAUUGCACAAUGGGCGCAAGCCUGAUGCAGCGACGCCGCGUGAGGGAUGGAGGCCUUCCGGUUGUAAACCUCUUUCGCCAGUGAAGCAGGCCUGCUCCUUGUGGGUGGGUGACGGUAGCUGGAUAAGAAGC